CUUUGCAGCCUUGACUAUUAAUUGUGGAUCUGUUGCUGUGGCCACCAGACUGUGACCUCAUGGAGGGCCAGGGCUGUAUCUGUUCAUGUUUAUACCCUAGCACCCAGCAGAGGGCCUGCCACACAGUACAGCAGGAAGGAGGGGUAAAAGAAUGGACUCCACAGGCCUGGUGAUCAAGAGCCAGCAGCCAGACACUCUCAGGCUGAGUUCUAAGUUGUAAAGCCACCUCUGGGGCUGCUCUCUAGGGGAGAUUUAAGAACAUACUACACUGGAGAACAAGAGCAGGCUGACAAGAAAAAGCAUCCUGAGAACAUGAACCUUUCUUGGCAAUUAAAAAACACAACGGCUAGGGAAAAAACCAAACCCACAAAACUCCACACAUGCAGCAAAGAGCAGAAAGGAGUCUCCUAAAAAAAACAGUUGGUCAAUUAGAAAAUCAAUUCAACAAACUCUGAAAAUCUAGAAGAAAAAAGGCAAAGUAACAGAAUUAAUGAAAAAAAAGGUAGAUGGAUUUGGAAUUCUAAUCUCUACACAACAACAGUUGCAAAAAGAAAACAUAAGCAAAUGAAGGGAAAUCAAUUCAUAAAAAAGCAGAAGACAAUUUCUUUGAUCUGAAGAAAGACUUGAAUUUUCAGAUCAACAAUAUCAUGGAAGAUUAUUGAGGAAAGAAAAAAAGACCUAGACCUGGAUAUAGCUUGAUCAAUCCUUCCCAAGAAUAACGAAAAACUUAUAUAAAAAUCCUUAGCAAACAAAAAACAGAUUACCCGCAAAGGAAAAAUAAUUAGACAACUGAAUUCCUCACCUGCAAGAGCGGAGGCCAGAAAUUUAUGAAGCAAUGUUUAUACAUUCCAAGAUGAAAGAACUGUGAUUGUGACUUCAGACUCUUAAACCUAGCGAAGCUUUCCUUUCUGUGUGACAUGCAAGUUAAGACACUUAAAGUCUCAGAAAGUAAACUCUUUCUGAAAAGCAACACCAAAAAUUACUUGAAGUAUUCCAGCCAAAUGCGAAAUUAAUCACCUUAAAUAAUUCAAGAAAGGAGAAGAUAUGCUAUAGAAAAAAUUAUGUGAGCAAUGAAACCAAUUAAAAUCUAAGAUAAUACAUAACAAGUGGGUUAUAAUGUGAUGAUGACACUUAAUAACUGUUAAGAAAGGAUGCUUGGAAUAGAAAAGGCAUAAAAAAUUUGGUAAUAAUCUAGAAUUAAAAUUUCAUGUUAUUUCAAUUAAAUUUGAGUCUGGGAAGGGAAAGAGGAGUGAAGAAAAAGUACGCUAAAGGUUUUAUCCUAUCUAGAAGAAUAGUCAUAAUCUACUCUUGAUCGAGAGAUACACACACAUAUGUUUUAAUAUGUUUGUUAAAAACCUAAACAAGAGUACAAAGAGGAGAUAUAUUGGUGUAUGUGUGUGUGCAUGUGCUACAUAAAGAAUACAUAUUUUUUUAAAUCCUAGUAAUAUGUUAGUCCAAGGAAUAUGGUAGGCUCCAAAGAAAAGCUCAAUAUUGUCUCAGAUAUAGAACUCUUACACGUUAACUGACCAUAAUGUAGAAAUUAACAUCAAAUAUAGAAACCGAACAUCACAAACCACUUGAAAAUUUCAGAAAAUACUCUUCCCAAAACUCA
Equus caballus (horse) is the source of this 1612-nucleotide non-coding RNA. The record is from RefSeq and is a predicted model, not a curated record. NCBI's taxonomy places the organism in Eukaryota, Metazoa, Chordata, Mammalia, Perissodactyla, Equidae.